Molecule: ribosomal RNA, 21 nt
Filed under: Acacia irrorata subsp. irrorata
Lineage: Eukaryota; Viridiplantae; Streptophyta; Magnoliopsida; Fabales; Fabaceae
Description: partial large subunit ribosomal RNA
Source: RNAcentral
CGCGACCCCAGGUCAGGCGGA